UUAAGUUCAGCGGGUAUCCCUACCUGAUCCGAGGUCAACCUAGAAUAGAAGUUUUGACGGCGCAGACCCCCUCCUCGCCAGCGAAUACGUUGCCACAACGCUGAGAAUCGGGUUGUCCAGCCGGUGAAAUCGGGGCGCACGGGAGCCGUGUCGCCCAAUGCCAAGCCAGGCUUGAGUGGUGUAAUGACGCUCGAACAGGC
This 200-nucleotide unclassified non-coding RNA is filed under the name Capnodiales sp. RNAcentral describes it as "partial internal transcribed spacer 2". Lineage: Eukaryota; Fungi; Ascomycota; Dothideomycetes; Capnodiales. The record is from RNAcentral.